UACGUAGGGUGCAAGCGUUGUCCGGAUUUAUUGGGCGUAAAGCGCGUGUAGGCGGCCACACAGGUCCGCUGUGAAAACUCGAGGCUCAACCUCGAGCUGUCGGUGGAAACCGUGUGGCUAGAGUCCGGAAGAGGAGACUGGAAUUCCCGGUGUAGCGGUGGAAUGCGCAGAUAUCGGGAGGAACACCCGUGGCGAAGGCGGGUCUCUGGGACGGUACUGACGCUGAGACGCGAAAGCGUGGGGAGCGAACAGG
RNAcentral lists this ribosomal RNA (253 nucleotides) under uncultured bacterium. RNAcentral describes it as "partial 16S ribosomal RNA". It matches the Rfam family "Bacterial small subunit ribosomal RNA", at positions 524 to 776 of the family's 1533-position model. The record is from RNAcentral.